UUAAGUUAAUAAGGGCGCACGGUGGAUGCCUUGGCACUAGAAGCCGAAGAAGGACGUGACAAACGACGAAAUGCUUUGGGGAGCUGUAAGUAAGCGACGAUCCAGAGAUGUCCGAAUGGGGGAACCCACUAGCUAAUGGCUAGUACUCCUAUCUGUUAAGGAUAGGUAGAGGAAGACGCAGUGAACUGAAACAUCUAAGUAGCUGCAGGAAGAGAAAGCAAAAGCGAUUGCCUGAGUAGCGGCGAGCGAAACGGCAGGAGGGCAAACCGAAGAGUUUACUCUUCGGGGUUGUAGGACUGCAAUGUGGACUUAAAGAUUAUAGAAGAAUGACAUGGGAAGGUCAGCCAAAGAGAGUAAGAGCCUCGUAUUCGAAAUAGUCUUUAUACCUAGCAGUAUCCUGAGUACGGCGGGACACGAGAAAUCCCGUCGGAAUCUGGGAGGACCAUCUCCCAACCCUAAAUACUCUCUAGUGACCGAUAGUGAACCAGUACCGUGAGGGAAAGGUGAAAAGCACCCCGGGAGGGGAGUGAAAUAGAACCUGAAACCGUGUGCCUACAACAAGUUCGAGCCCGUUAAUGGGUGAGAGCGUGCCUUUUGUAGAAUGAACCGGCGAGUUACGAUAUGAUGCGAGGUUAAGUUGAAGAGACGGAGCCGCAGGGAAACCGAGUCUGAAUAGGGCGAGUUAGUAUUAUGUCGUAGACCCGAAACCAUGUGACCUACCCAUGAGCAGGUUGAAGGUGAGGUAAAACUCACUGGAGGACCGAACCAGGGCACGUUGAAAAGUGCUUGGAUGACUUGUGGGUAGCGGAGAAAUUCCAAACGAACUUGGAGAUAGCUGGUUCUCUCCGAAAUAGCUUUAGGGCUAGCGUCGACAUUGAGAUUCUUGGAGGUAGAGCACUGUUUGGGUGAGGGGUCCAUCCCGGAUUACCAAUCUCAGAUAAACUCCGAAUGCCAAUGAAUUAUGGUCGGCAGUCAGACUGCGAGUGCUAAGAUCCGUAGUCGAAAGGGAAACAGCCCAGACCACCAGCUAAGGUCCCAAAAUAAUUGUUAAGUGGAAAAGGAUGUGGGGUUGCACAGACAACUAGGAUGUUAGCUUAGAAGCAGCUAUUCAUUCAAAGAGUGCGUAAUAGCUCACUAGUCGAGUGACCCUGCGCCGAAAAUGUACCGGGGCUAAAACAAUUUACCGAAGCUGUGGAUACCUUUAUAGGUAUGGUAGGAGAGCGUUCUAUGUGUGGAGAAGGUGUACCGUGAGGAGCGCUGGAACGCAUAGAAGUGAGAAUGCCGGUAUGAGUAGCGAAAGACAGGUGAGAAUCCUGUCCACCGUAAGACUAAGGUUUCCAGGGGAAGGCUCGUCCGCCCUGGGUUAGUCGGGACCUAAGGAGAGACCGAAAGGUGUAUCCGAUGGACAACAGGUUGAUAUUCCUGUACUAGAGUAUGUAGUGAAGGAGGGACGCAGUAGGCUAACUAAAGCGUGCGACUGGAAGUGCACGUCUAAGCAGUGAGGUGUGAAUUGAGUUAAAUGCUUAAUUCUAUAACAUUGAGCUGUGAUGGGGAGCGAAGUUUAGUAGCGAAGUUAGUGACGUCACACUGCCAAGAAAAGCUUCUAGCGUUUAAACAUACUCUACCCGUACCGCAAACCGACACAGGUAGUCGAGGCGAGUAGCCUCAGGUGAGCGAGAGAACUCUCGUUAAGGAACUCGGCAAAAUGACCCCGUAACUUCGGGAGAAGGGGUGCUGACUUAUGUCAGCCGCAGUGAAUAGGCCCAAGCAACUGUUUAUCAAAAACACAGCUCUCUGCUAAAUCGUAAGAUGAUGUAUAGGGGGUGACGCCUGCCCGGUGCUGGAAGGUUAAGAGGAGUGCUUAGCGGUAACGCGAAGGUAUGAAUUGAAGCCCCAGUAAACGGCGGCCGUAACUAUAACGGUCCUAAGGUAGCGAAAUUCCUUGUCGGGUAAGUUCCGACCCGCACGAAAGGCGUAAUGAUUUGGGCACUGUCUCAACGAGAGACUCGGUGAAAUUUUAGUACCUGUGAAGAUGCAGGUUACCCGCGACAGGACGGAAAGACCCCAUGGAGCUUUACUGCAGUUUGAUAUUGAGUGUCUGUGCCACAUGUACAGGAUAGGUAGGAGCCAU
This 2131-nucleotide ribosomal RNA is filed under the name Streptococcus parasanguinis CC87K. RNAcentral describes it as "bacterial LSU rRNA". It matches the Rfam family "Bacterial large subunit ribosomal RNA", at positions 3 to 2157 of the family's 2925-position model. Lineage: Bacteria; Bacillati; Bacillota; Bacilli; Lactobacillales; Streptococcaceae. The record is from RNAcentral.